GGACUCUCAUGUGUACAUCUAAAGACGCUUUUCGGCUAAAUCUUUGUCCACAGGACUCACAAGCAAAAGGCUUCUGUCCUGUGUGGACUCUCAUGUGUCUGUUUAAAGGUGACUUUAAGCUAAAUUUCUUUCCACAGAGCUCACAAGCAAAAGGCUUCUCUUCUGUGUGGACUAUCAUGUGUGUGUUUAAAGCUGACUUUAAGCUAAAUUUCUUUCCACAGAGCUCACAAGCAAAAGGCUUCUGUCCUGUGUGGACUCUCAUGUGUGUGUUUAAAAGUGUCCUAUGACUAAAGGAUUUGUUGACAGUCCUAAAAUCUGACUCAGAACACCUGUUCUCAUUCCAGUCAUUGUCUCCGUCUCCAGUUUCAGACCCAGAGUCUGACAGCUCAGAGACUUGAGUUGCAUCAUCAUCAUCAUCAUCAUCCUCAUCUCCAACGUCAGUCUCUGAAGAAUCAGGAGUCAGUUCAUGAGGGUUAAGAUCUGGGUUCCGGCUAGUUUCUAGUCCACCAGUUUCUGCCGUCAUCUGGUCAGCUGAGCUGCUGGUUGGAACAUCUCCGUCUUCUAUUUGCUUUUGAUGAAGCUGUGAGAACAGAGGCUUCUCUUCAUCUUCCUCACUCUUUAUAGAAGCAACAGUGAAUGGAAACCUGGCAGCAUCAGUCUCCUCCUUCAAAUGGAGAUGCACCCUUUCCAUACUGGGCCAGAGUUUCUCCUCUUCCUCCUUUAUGUGGAGAAAAUCUAAGUCCUGCUGGUUGACACCAGCGCUAUGUUCUUCUAGAGCUUCUUCUUUAACCAGCACCACCUGUUGAAAUGCUGUAGGAAACACAGAAACGUAUGAUGUGAAUUACCAACAGCUGUAACUGUGUUUUCAAACAUAUAACAGGAGCCCUGACAAACAGCCAAGUAAAAGACGCAUACUAACACCUAUUAUAAAAAGACCUUUUUUCCCUGCACACUGAACCAGGACAUAAAAAUUCAAUGAGCUGCAUACUGACUAGAAAGUUUGCCCUUAUAGCCUGGUGAUAUUGUGUGUGUGUGUGUGUGUGUGUGUGUGUGUGUGUGUGUGUGUGUGUGUGUGUGUGUGUGUGUGUGUGUGUGUGUGUGUGUGUGUGUG
Molecule: long non-coding RNA, 1111 nt
Filed under: Nothobranchius furzeri (turquoise killifish)
Lineage: Eukaryota; Metazoa; Chordata; Actinopteri; Cyprinodontiformes; Nothobranchiidae
Description: lncRNA (ENSNFUG00015015597.1)
Source: RNAcentral